AACGCUGGCGGCGUGCUUAACACAUGCAAGUCGAACGGAGUAUGACGCUGACGAGUAGAGUAGCUGCUACGAAGCAAAUACUUGUCGAUACUAGUGGCGGACGGGUGAGUAACGCGUGGGUAACCUGCCAUGUACAGGGGGAUAACACUUAGAAAUAGGUGCUAAUACCGCAUAAGCCUACAGGAUCGCAUGAUCCAGUAAGAAAAACUCCGGUGGUACAUGAUGGACCCGCGUCUGAUUAGCUAGUUGGUGAGGUAGAGGCUCACCAAGGCGACGAUCAGUAGCCGGCCUGAGAGGGUGAACGGCCACAUUGGGACUGAGACACGGCCCAAACUCCUACGGGAGGCAGCAGUGGGGAAUAUUGCACAAUGGGGGAAACCCUGAUGCCAGCGACGCCGCGUGAGUGAUGAAGUAUUUCGGUAUGUAAAGCUCUAUCAGCAGGGAAGAAAAUGACGGUACCUGACUAAGAAGCCCCGGCUAACUACGUGCCAGCCGCCGC
Molecule: ribosomal RNA, 499 nt
Filed under: uncultured bacterium
Lineage: Bacteria
Description: bacterial SSU rRNA
Rfam family: Bacterial small subunit ribosomal RNA
Source: RNAcentral